CACGUAGGCGGCUUGGUAAGUCAGAUGUGAAAGCCCGGGGCUUAACCUCGGAAGUGCAUUUGAUACUGUCAAGCUUGAGUAUGGGAGAGGGAAGUGGAAUUCCUGGUGUAGAGGUGAAAUUCGUAGAUAUCAGGAGGAACACCGGUGGCGAAGGCGACUUCCUGGACCAAUACUGACGCUGAGGUGCGAAGGCGUGGGUAGCAAACA
Molecule: ribosomal RNA, 207 nt
Filed under: uncultured bacterium
Lineage: Bacteria
Description: partial 16S ribosomal RNA
Rfam family: Bacterial small subunit ribosomal RNA
Source: RNAcentral